RNAcentral lists this unclassified non-coding RNA (87 nucleotides) under Pseudomonas gessardii. Lineage: Bacteria; Pseudomonadati; Pseudomonadota; Gammaproteobacteria; Pseudomonadales; Pseudomonadaceae. The record is from RNAcentral.
GUGGGAGCUGGCUUGCCUGCGAUGGCGCUGGGUCAGCCAGUAAAUAUGGCACUGAUACACCGCUAUCGCAGGCAAGCCAGCUCCCAC